GGAGGGGAGCCUAGGCCCGGCGUGGGGAGGCCGGCAGGAAGGGCCUCGAGCCCAGUGCGGACCUUUCUUCAGCCUCUGUGCGACCGAGCCGCGCGCCAGGCUCCUGUGCGAGGAGGACGCGCUGACUCCCUCCGACCUGGGCUCCGAUGGAGCAGAAAUAGCGGGACCUGGACUUGUGGCGCGCCUGGUGCCACAUCUCGGGCUCUGCGAGCGUCCUGGCGCGGGAUCCUGCCGUUUGCAUCCAAGAGAGGGGAGGACAGGGGCAAAAGGAUGCAGGGAGGCUGCUGAUUUCCACUGAAGAGCUAAUUUCCUGUGAGACAUUAACAGUGAUUUAAGAAAAAGAUUCCUGUAACUGAGACAAUUAGGAAAAAAGUAAACAAACGGAGCAGGAUUUGGGCAUAACAGCAUGCUCCUCCCAUCCCCCAAAUCCCAGGAGUGUCACUGAGUAAUGUCUUACAAUAACAGAAUGCAGGAGAGCACAUAUCAAUGAAGAAAAGACAAAAUGUACUUAUCCAUGAAGCUGAGGUUAAGAAACCAGUGUCUUCAAGAGCCAGGGACAGCACUGGGUCUGUGCAGAGUUGAGAGAUGGUGAUGACAUGCCUACAGCACAGCUGAUGAAAGAGAAGACAUCUUGCUGCUAUUUGACAAGCAAGAAGAUAAAAGCUUUCCUAUAAAGAUGAUGGAGCAAAAAAAUAGAAGGGGCCUAGACUCCCUACCUUCACACUUCCUGCUAUAAAAGCAUUGCUAUUAUAAGGUUAAUCUGCAGAAACAGACUUCUAUGUCAUAUGCUUAAAUGCAUCAAAAUUCAUACAAUAUCCAUUAAAUUGGUAAAAGUAUCCAUUUUAAAGGAUUAAUCUGAGGGACCCACAGACACUUAACACAAUCAAAUCUCAGAAAAAAAAUCAGUUAUUUCAUUGUGAUUUUGAGGCUGAUCUUUUAUGAUCUUUUAGUUAUCAAACUGUUAAAUACAUUUUAACUUUCAAAUUUUAUGAAUAAAGGAGAUGAAUCCUGUUA
Molecule: long non-coding RNA, 1014 nt
Filed under: Homo sapiens (human)
Lineage: Eukaryota; Metazoa; Chordata; Mammalia; Primates; Hominidae
Description: MAGI2 antisense RNA 3
Source: RNAcentral